This 504-nucleotide ribosomal RNA is filed under the name uncultured Enterococcus sp. Its description in RNAcentral is "partial 16S ribosomal RNA". The record is from RNAcentral. Lineage: Bacteria; Bacillati; Bacillota; Bacilli; Lactobacillales; Enterococcaceae.
CACGUAGUUAGCCGUGGCUUUCUGGUUAGAUACCGUCAGGGGACGUUCAGUUACUAACGUCCUUGUUCUUCUCUAACAACAGAGUUUUACGAUCCGAAAACCUUCUUCACUCACGCGGCGUUGCUCGGUCAGACUUUCGUCCAUUGCCGAAGAUUCCCUACUGCUGCCUCCCGUAGGAGUCUGGGCCGUGUCUCAGUCCCAGUGUGGCCGAUCACCCUCUCAGGUCGGCUAUGCAUCGUGGCCUUGGUGAGCCGUUACCUCACCAACUAGCUAAUGCACCGCGGGUCCAUCCAUCAGCGACACCCGAAAGCGCCUUUCACUCUUAUGCCAUGCGGCAUAAACUGUUAUGCGGUAUUAGCACCUGUUUCCAAGUGUUAUCCCCCUCUGAUGGGUAGGUUACCCACGUGUUACUCACCCGUCCGCCACUCCUCUUUCCAAUUGAGUGCAAGCACUCGGGAGGAAAGAAGCGUUCGACUUGCAUGUAUUAGGCACGCCGCCAGCGUG